ACACAUGCAAGUCGAGGGGCAGCAUUUCAGUUUGCUUGCAAACUGGAGAUGGCGACCGGCGCACGGGUGAGUAACACGUAUCCAACCUGCCGAUAACUCGGGGAUAGCCUUUCGAAAGAAAGAUUAAUACCCGAUGGUAUAAUCAGACCGCAUGGUCUUGUUAUUAAAGAAUUUCGGUUAUCGAUGGGGAUGCGUUCCAUUAGGCAGUUGGUGAGGUAACGGCUCACCAAACCUUCGAUGGAUAGGGGUUCUGAGAGGAAGGUCCCCCACAUUGGAACUGAGACACGGUCCAAACUCCUACGGGAGGCAGCAGUGAGGAAUAUUGGUCAAUGGGCGCAGGCCUGAACCAGCCAAGUAGCGUGAAGGAUGACUGCCCUAUGGGUUGUAAACUUCUUUUAUAUGGGAAUAAAGUUUUCCACGUGUGGAAUUUUGUAUGUACCAUAUGAAUAAGGAUCGGCUAACUCCGUGCCAGCAGCCGCGGUAAUACGGAGGAUCCGAGCGUUAUCCGGAUUUAUUGGGUUUAAAGGGAGCGUAGGUGGACAGUUAAGUCAGUUGUGAAAGUUUGCGGCUCAACCGUAAAAUUGCAGUUGAUACUGGGUGUCUUGAGUACAGUAGAGGCAGGCGGAAUUCGUGGUGUAGCGGUGAAAUGCUUAGAUAUCACGAAGAACUCCGAUUGCGAAGGCAGCUUGCUGGACUGUAACUGACGCUGAUGCUCGAAAGUGUGGGUAUCAAACAGGAUUAGAUACCCUGGUAGUCCACACUGUAAACGAUGAAUGCUAGGUGUAGGG
Molecule: ribosomal RNA, 788 nt
Filed under: uncultured bacterium
Lineage: Bacteria
Description: bacterial SSU rRNA
Rfam family: Bacterial small subunit ribosomal RNA
Source: RNAcentral